GACGAACGCUGGCGGCGUGCUUAACACAUGCAAGUCGAACGGAAAGGCCCCUUCGGGGGUACUCGAGUGGCGAACAGGUGAGUAACACGUGAGUAACCUGCCCUUGACUUCGGGAUAACUUCAGGAAACUGGGGCUAAUACCGGAUAGGAAUCCUUGCUGCAUGGUGGGGGUUGGAAAGCUUCGGCGGUUUUGGAUGGACUCGCGGCUUAUCAGCUUGUUGGUGGGGUAGUGGCUUACCAAGGCUUUGACGGGUAGCCGGCCUGAGAGGGCGACCGGCCACAUUGGGGCUGGGAUACGGCCCAGACUCCCACGGGGGGCAACAGUGGGGAAUAUUGCACAAUGGGCGGGAGCCUGAUGCAGCAACGCCGCGUGCGGGAUGACGGCCUUCGGGUUGUAAACCGCUUUCAGCAGGGGCGAAGCUUGUGGUGACGGUACCUGCAGAAGAAGCACCGGCUAACUACGUG
Molecule: ribosomal RNA, 465 nt
Filed under: uncultured bacterium
Lineage: Bacteria
Description: partial 16S ribosomal RNA
Rfam family: Bacterial small subunit ribosomal RNA
Source: RNAcentral